RNAcentral lists this small RNA (616 nucleotides) under Drosophila pseudoobscura pseudoobscura. RNAcentral describes it as "GA30802". The record is from RNAcentral. Lineage: Eukaryota; Metazoa; Arthropoda; Insecta; Diptera; Drosophilidae.
UGUUGUGUGUGUUUUUUUUCCUAUUCCUUAUUAUUAUUAUUUGCAUUUUGCGACGCGGCGAAUGCUGCGUUUAAACAUAGAAUUUGUUCUACCUUUUAGAGCUCUCUCUCUCUCUCUAUGGACCACCAACAGCUGUCUGAUUUUCAAAUGAUUAUUAUGCAGAGAGGGUAAAGGAAAAAACAACAGACAGCAGCCACCGGCACAGUGGAACGUGAAAGCAACGGGAUUACAGUGGAACAGACAGCAAGGAUUACAAACAGCUGCUGCACAGUGGAACACCGGGGAUUACCAUGGAAAAAACCGGCAAUGAAAAUGAAAAUGAAAAUCCUACAAAAACGGAUUGAUUAUUGUUUUUAGACUUUAACAUUUUUUUUUUGUAAUACUGUGUGUUGGAUUCAUCGUGAAUUUUUCAAAUGGAAUACCAAUAAUAAUUGUGAAAUGUUUGCAUUGGAUGAUACCCCGCAAAAUGUGCAACCGCAGCAGAGCCGUCGCGACCACAAAUCUUAAAGAAAAUUCCUUUAAGAUCAAUAACAAUACAAAUUGCGGUAAUCUAACAAAAACUACCAUAACCUAAGAAAACAAAGAAAAACAAAGCAAAACAAAAGGCAAGAAACAG